RNAcentral lists this ribosomal RNA (533 nucleotides) under uncultured bacterium. RNAcentral's name for it is "bacterial SSU rRNA". It matches the Rfam family "Bacterial small subunit ribosomal RNA", at positions 915 to 1448 of the family's 1533-position model. The record is from RNAcentral.
GGGGACCCGCACAAGCGGUGGAUGAUGUGGUUUAAUUCGAUGCGACGCGAAAAACCUUACCCACUUUUGACAUGUACGGAAUCCUUUAGAGAUAGAGGAGUGCCCGAAAGAGAACCGUAACACAGGUGCUGCAUGGCUGUCGUCAGCUCGUGUCGUGAGAUGUUGGGUUAAGUCCCGCAACGAGCGCAACCCUUGCCAUUAGUUGCUACAUUUAGUUGGGCACUCUAAUGGGACUGCCGGUGACAAACCGGAGGAAGGGGGGGAUGACGUCAAGUCCUCAUGGCCCUUAUAGGUGGGGCUACACACGUCAUACAAUGGCUGGUACAGAAGGUUGCCAACCCGCGAGGGGGAGCUAAUCCUAUAAAGCCAGUCGUAGUCCGGAUCGCAGUCUGCAACUCGACUGCGUGAAGUCGGAAUCGCUAGUAAUCGCGGAUCAGAAUGUCGCGGUGAAUACGUUCCCGGGUCUUGUACACACCGCCCGUCACACCAUGGGAGCGGGUCUCGCCAGAAGUAGGUAGCUUAACCGCAAGGGG